Molecule: long non-coding RNA, 3099 nt
Organism: Amaranthus tricolor (Joseph's coat)
Lineage: Eukaryota; Viridiplantae; Streptophyta; Magnoliopsida; Caryophyllales; Amaranthaceae
Exons: 5
Source: RefSeq, a predicted model, not a curated record
UUAUUUUUUAACACUCUAAAUAUUUUCUAAAAUAAAGAAAAAAAUUCCAGAAAAUAGAUAAAAGAAAAAAAAAUCAUUUGAAAGACUUGCUUUUUAAUUGUCUCCUCAAAAACCGAAUUUCAGGAAAUUGUAAUAAACCCAUCACAUUGCUCACGAAAUUCAUCGAAAAUCAUCUUGCUCCCGUUAACCUCUCAACUUCUACUAUCCCUGACCCAUUCUCUCUCCUCAAAUACUAGAAAUUGAUCUUGAAGCUGCAUUAUCUACUCAAAAUUUAUCUUUGAAAAUCAAAAUUAUGAAGAAAUUAGUCCUCGAAAAUCAAGGUUUUUGUAUCUGAUUAAAAGGUAGUGUUCUUCACUCAAAUUCGAUUAUUUGAGUUACAUUUUGUAUCUUCAUCACUCAAAUUCUAUUAUUUGUAUCUUUUUCACUCAAAUUCGAUUAUUUGAUUCUUUGUUCUCAGCUUGUACAAGAUCGGUUUAGCAACAUUUUUCGACUUCAAAAAAGUCACUAUUUGAGAGCUGACUUUUUUUUGGCAUUGAUUAUGUGUUGGAUUGGAAAUUGUGAUUGAAUGUUGAAGAGUGACCACAAAUUAGAGAAAAAUAUGUAUACAGUUUGUUGCUUGUAGACCGGUUUAGAAUGCCUCAAAAGCCUCAAAUGUAGGUUAUGACGUUUUUUAUUACACAUAUAGAUUGUGUUGUGUUGUGGUGUUAUUGAUUUAGAUUGUGUGAAUGUAAAUUGAUAAGAAAAGUAAUUUAGGAACGUAAAAAUUACCAGCAGGUUAUAAGCCUUUGGUCUUUUGGUUUUUCCAGACUAUCUUAAGUUAGGAAAGAUCAUCAACAAGGUAUCAAGAAGCAAGCUAUUGUCUAUUUGAGAGUUUAGAUAUUGGAAAUCUGGAUUGAAAAAUCUUCAAUUUUCUUAAAAUAAGAAUCAAAGAAUUAUCUAGUCCACAUAUUCACACUGUAGUUACGAUUCAGCUAUCUCUCCUUUUGACACCAUGUUCUACAAUUGUUGGAUAACAUUGCCAACCUAUAAUCUUCAUCUAUAAUUCUAUGCCUAAUUGGUUUUUUUUAGGAUAAACAACAAUUUGUGUGCUCUCUACUUCUAUAGUGAAGAUUCAAGGGCAUUUGACCUAAUGUUUUCACUCAUAAUUCAUCCAAUUAAGGGUUGGUUAUACAGGGAUUUAUAGGUGACAACAUUAGGUUUGACACCCUUUUGUUCCUGCAAUAGGUGAUAAGAUCAGCAGAGGAUUUCCGCAGUAUUUGGUUCAACGUUGUUGGGUAUGAACAAUUGUACUACAAUUCUUCCUUACUGUAUUUUCACUAGUUGUGCUUUCCUCAAUUCCUUAAACUUUGUGAACCAAAUGGUGCAACCCAAUUUUAAAGCUUUUUCUUAAUGAUCCCAUGAACUGAUUUGGUAUAGCUUUCUUAUCUUCUUACGAUGUAUUUUAUUCCUUUUCUUUUCAUGGAGUAUGAUGUCACGUAUCAAUUUGGGCACAAAAAAGAAUAUAUGGAACUAAAUUUGGUCCAACAAUUUUUUCAUAAAGAAAAUGAGAUAGGUCAAAAUCUGAAAGAUUACAAAAUAAGUUGAUUGGCAAAAUAUUAGUUAAUAUUAAAUUAAAGUUUUUAAUGAAGAUCUCUGUUGUUUAAGAGCAAUUUUUUUAUCUUUUGAUUUUAUAGUGCCUCUUGUUAUUUCGUUCAUACUAAAGGUACAUUUCAUAUACUCUAUCUUACUCCGCUUUAAUUUGUACCGUCGGCACUCCAACUCUUGUCUUUGUGUUAGAGUAUAUAACAUAUCUUGGGGCCUCAACUAUCAGCUUAAGCUUUUGGUUGAGUUGGUUCCUUGACAUGGUAUCAGAAGCCAACGUGAGAGGCCACGGGUUCGAAUCUCAACCACCCCUCAUUUAAAGUGGAAUAUUCAGCGCCUAUGCGCAUCCACACUUCUACCCCAAUGGGGUCUCGUGUGAGGGGGCGUGUUAGAGUAUAUAACAUAUCUUGGGGCCUCAACCAUCAGCUUAAGCUUUUGGUUGAGUUGGUUCCUUGACACUUUGUCAUUUUAACUUUAACAUACGCCCUCUCCUUGGUCUCAUCUAUCAAAACAAUGUCAUCAACAAUACUUUAUUGAUUGAGUAUCUCAUUAAAAUAAAACAAUUAUCCUUAUCUCAGCUGUUUUAUUUAAACCUAUCUCAUCUAUAAACCAUUGACUUACGGUUGUCAUAUUGUCCUAGUUUGAUGGUUUCCAAAGAUGUCUCGUAUAUGGCAUCUAAACCCAAUUUUAUAAAAGGGAAUAUGCAAAGUUUUGUUCUAUUUCUGACAUAAACUUCUAAAUAUAUGAUAUAGAUCAAAACAAAGCAAAUUCAUUCAAAAUAGGACAAGAUUUUGAAAGAAAACUAUCUAGCAAGAACCGGUACACAAACAUUGAAGAAUAGGAAAUUCAAGCCAACGAAUCCUAAACGGUUUUUCAGGCCGCGCACUGAUAAAGAGGCGUUUUAAAAGAGGCAACUCUAGAGAGAAAAAUUACUUCUCUUUAAAAUUUAUCUCAUACAAGGGAAAAUUCACAGGGCACAGAAAAUGGAGUAAAUGAGAACAAAGAAAAGGGAAGCAAGAAAGAUGAGAGUAAAGGUAUCUAAAAGGAUCGACCAGCAUUUGCAAGGCCAAUAAAAAGCAGAUACAAGAACUUAAAAGAAGUAGAAUCGAAAUCAGAGAAGAGCUCCGGAAAUACCAAAUCUUCUAUCUUGCAGAAGAAAUUAAAAGUGUCUAAGAGGGAAGUUGUCUGGGGUAAAAUCUCGGGGACUUGAGGCAACGGAGAAAACUGAAGCAAUUUUAUCAAAACGAAAGGAACCCAGGAAACAAGGAAAAGAUGUUGAAUUAAGGAAUAAAGCUUCAGUAGCUUAGAAAUCAGCAGCACAGGGAAAAAUUGUAACUACCUCUAGUUCCAGAGACUAAAGAUGUUGGGAUACACCAUGUCAAUCUAUAAAUUUUUAUUUUUUUUAAUUUUUUUUGAAUAUAUGACAUUCUUAUCAAAUAUUAAAAGUUUGUAUAGUAAUCCUUAAUGUGAUUGUGAUGUGAAUCUUUAAUGUUAUAUUAAUAGAAAGGAAAAUAUUUU